Molecule: unclassified non-coding RNA, 520 nt
Filed under: uncultured Entrophospora
Lineage: Eukaryota; Fungi; Glomeromycota; Glomeromycetes; Entrophosporales; Entrophosporaceae
Description: SSU rRNA
Rfam family: Eukaryotic small subunit ribosomal RNA
Source: RNAcentral
CGCAGCCGCGGUAAUUCCAGCUCCAAUAGCGUAUAUUAAAGUUGUUGCAGUUAAAAAGCUCGUAGUUGAAUUUCGGGAUUGACGUGAUGGUCGUGCCUUACGGGGUAUGAACUGUUGCUGUUGAUUUCUCACCUUCUGGAGAAACUUGAUGUCCUUAAUUGGGUGUCUUGCGGAUCCAGGACCUUUACCUUGAAAAAUUAGAGUGUUUAAAGCAGGCAUUUUGCUCGAAUACAUUAGCAUGGAAUAAUAGAAUAGGACGGCAUGGUUCUAUUUUGCUGGUUUCUAGGAUCACCGUAAUGAUUAAUAGGGAUAGUUGGGGGCAUUAGUAUUCAAUUGUCAGAGGUGAAAUUCUUGGAUUUAUUGAAGACUAACUACUGCGAAAGCAUUUGCCAAGGAUGUUUUCAUUAAUCAAGAACGAAAGUUAGGGGAUCGAAGACGAUCAGAUACCGUCGUAGUCUUAACCAUAAACUAUGCCGACUAGGAAUCAGACGAUGUUAAUUUUUAAUGACUCGUUUGGCUA